This is a long non-coding RNA of Leucoraja erinaceus (little skate), 1356 nucleotides long. RefSeq lists it as uncharacterized. The record is from RefSeq and is a predicted model, not a curated record. The transcript is spliced from 2 exons. NCBI's taxonomy places the organism in Eukaryota, Metazoa, Chordata, Chondrichthyes, Rajiformes, Rajidae.
CGGGAAUUUUUCAACAUGUUGAAAAAUGUCCACGAGAGCCCCGAAUACCGACGAGUGGCCAUUACCCUAAAUCUCCGAGUUCGAAUCAGGACAAACUCGGGAGAGCUCUUGGAAUGAACUCGUACCACGGGACAGGGGUUUUAGUAUGCGGGGAUCGCUGGUCGGCGCGGACUCGGUGCACCGAAGGUCCUGUUUCCGCACUGCACCUCAACUAAAACAUUAACUGUACUAAACUACUGCCUGUGGCAUUUCCAGAUCUCCUCGAGUGGGGACAUCUAGCCCAAAACAUAAUGUUUGGAGCUGCCACAAAACAUUAUGCUUCAGUGGGGUUAGCUAAACUCCAGGGAGAAGCACAACUGGUCCAUAAACAAGAUAUCUAUAGGAAUGAACUGUAGAUGCUGGUUUAAACCGAAGGCCAGUAUCAUUGUCUAUAUCUCUCGUUUCCCUUUCCCCUGACUCUCAGUCUGAAGAAGGGUCUCAACAUGAACAAGACAACGUGCUUUGUCCCUGUUACUCCUCACUACACUGACAAACCCGUGCAAACAAAACGUGUCGGAAGGGACUGCAGAUGCCGGCCUGAGUCUGAACUAGAAGUCCAACCCCCGAAACAUCACCCAUCCUUUUUCUCCAGAUUUUCUGCCUGACUCGCUGAGUUACUCCAGCACUUUGUGUCUAUCCAGUGGGCAAAUCUUAAUCUGUGUAAUUCAGUACCAAUCUCUUCCAAAUGCUCACUUCUGAACAAAUUAUCAAUAGCUUUGCCAGGAUGGAUUGAGUUACUUCAUGUUUUGUUUCUGUUGGCUAUUCUGAUAGUUGAGAGGAGUGUGUUUUUAACCAUGGAUAUUCAAUCCUAUUGUUGCAAGCUGUGUGUGAUUAUUUUAAACUGAUAAUACCUUGACACAGUGCUUUUUCUGCAUUUUUGUGAGCUAUGCUUUUGUGCUAAUAAUAUGUUUGGCUUAGUCUAUUGUAUUGUUAGCACUUCACCAUUAAUUCGCUCCUUUUCUUUCUUCUGUUGGCUCAGGUACAUUUCCCAAAGCAUUGAAGACUUAUUAAUGAUUUGACUGAGUCUGAAGUGCUGAGCAUAAUAGAUGAGACACCAGUUAAACACCUCCUUUGGAAAUGGCCUGCAAGCUUAUUCUUCUUAAUCGGUCAAACGGUGAGCUUCACGUCUGCCUUGGAGAGGGUUCCAACCCAGAGAAUUCAGAAGUUUGGUGACACUCGCUUCUCUCUCAUAGUUGUUAGUAACAAAUCGAGCUGCCUGUCUUUGGACACGUUCGAAUGUAUUAUUGAUAAAAUUGUUAAUAUUUUAAUUUGAUAACUUUGUUUGUAAACUGCCAAUAAAGGUAUUCUUUGAUCCUG